Molecule: ribosomal RNA, 150 nt
Filed under: uncultured bacterium
Lineage: Bacteria
Description: partial 16S ribosomal RNA
Rfam family: Bacterial small subunit ribosomal RNA
Source: RNAcentral
AUUCGUAGAGAUCGGGAGGAAUACCAGUGGCGAAGGCGAUUUGCUGGGCCAUCACUGACGCUGAGGUACGAAAGCGUGGGUAGCAAAUAGGAUUAGAUACCCUAGUAGUCCACGCUGUAAACGAUGAGCACUAGGUGUAGCGGGUACUCA